GCCCCUGUGGCCUAAUGGCUAAGGCGUCUGACUUCUAAGUGCAGUCAAAAGGCUGCUAGAUGCGAAUCAGAAGAUUGCCAGUUCGAUCCUGGCCAGGGGCU
Fusarium sp. MPI-SDFR-AT-0072 is the source of this 101-nucleotide non-coding RNA. Lineage: Eukaryota; Fungi; Ascomycota; Sordariomycetes; Hypocreales; Nectriaceae. The record is from the annotation of a GenBank genome assembly.